Molecule: non-coding RNA, 379 nt
Organism: Podarcis muralis (Common wall lizard)
Lineage: Eukaryota; Metazoa; Chordata; Lepidosauria; Squamata; Lacertidae
Source: RefSeq, a predicted model, not a curated record
UUUUAAUAUUCUAUUAUUCUAUGAUUCCUCAGACGUAAGUCCUACUGAAGUCCAUGGAGGACAUUUUUAGGGGAAGAAAAUGCUACGGAGUAAACCCUACACAGACAGACAGAUGCCAAGAACAACUCCCAGAUCUAUUAUUUCCCCCACUCCUUUCUAAACGCCAUCCAAGGUACAGAUCACCACUGCAUCUUGCAGCAGUGAAUUCCAUGUAUUCCAUUCUGGGCCCAAUCCACGCUGGGCAGUUUGGCCCAGAAAAUGAGCCCUGGGUACAACCUGAAAUCUGCAUAGUGACUAGGAGAGCCUGAACCAAAAGCCCAAGCAAUUUUGUGCAUGUUUAUACAAAAGUAAGUUCCACUGUAUUUCAUGGCAUAUGCUC